AGUUCCCGGCGGCCAGUUUCUUGGCAGCUCCUUGAUUAAGUUUCUGGAAUUAAUUGGAAUCACAGGUGGAAGGGGUAAUCGUAACACUGCUACUUGGGAUUCAUUGACCACUGCUCCAUGAACCCUACAAACAACCUGGACAUUGGCUAACAGCCAGACCCCUUGCUCAAUCAACUCUGAUUAAAUUCUGCAAAUGUUAAUUGGACUCCUACCACACACAAGCCACUGUGGUAAAAUGAAUAAUAACAUCAAAAAUGAAUAACAUCCGUCCCUGCCAAAUGGGAACUUUCAUUUUGUGCAAACACUUGGAGAAACUCCUGUAACUCCUAUUCCUUUAUGUAAGGGUGAAGGGUACAUUGUAACAGAUGGAAUUUCUCAUUUUAUUCAGCUUGCAGUUUUGCCAAAUGUGAUAAUUCUAUUUUACAUUAUAAAUUGUGUCACUGUAUCCAAGUCUUUCUAAACUAUGAUUUACUCAUUUUACACAGGUGGAAGCAUUGUAUAAUAGGCCAUCAAAUGCAAAUGCAAAUUUAGCUAAAAGAUUGUAUUUACAUAUGCUCUUCAUUUUUGGUGGUUGUUGUUAACUGUUAGGUAUAUGUAGAGUUUUUGUUUUUGUUUAAUUGAGGUAUUAUUGACAUAUAACAUGUUCAUUUUAGAUGUGCAACUUUGCUAUUUGCUAUUUGUAUAUAUAUUUCAAAAUACAUUACAAGUUUUGUUAACAUCAG
Molecule: long non-coding RNA, 722 nt
Organism: Talpa occidentalis (Iberian mole)
Lineage: Eukaryota; Metazoa; Chordata; Mammalia; Eulipotyphla; Talpidae
Exons: 3
Source: RefSeq, a predicted model, not a curated record